ACGAACGCUGGCGGCAUGCCUCAUACAUGCAAGUUGAACGUUCCGCAAGGAAAGUAGCGUAAGGGUGAGUAAAAAGUAGGAAUCUGCCUUAGACUGGGGGAUAACCCGGGGAAACCUGGGCUAAUACCGCAUGAUGCUGAGAAGCUAAAGAUUUAUCGGUCUAAGAUGAGCCUACUUAUGAUUAGCUAGUUGGUAGGGUAAUGGCCUACCAAAGCAACGAUCAUUAGCUGGUCUGAGAGGACGAUCAGCCACAAUGGAACUGAGACACGGUCCAUACUUCUACGGAAGGCAGCAGUAGGGAAUUUUGCGCAAUGGGCGAAAGCCUGACGCAGCAAUGCCGCGUGUAGGAAGAAGCAUCUUGGUGUGUAAACUACUGUCGGUGGGGAAAAAGAAAAUGAUUGUACCCACAAAGGAAGCAUCGGCUAACUACGU
Molecule: ribosomal RNA, 432 nt
Filed under: uncultured bacterium
Lineage: Bacteria
Description: bacterial SSU rRNA
Rfam family: Bacterial small subunit ribosomal RNA
Source: RNAcentral